This 146-nucleotide unclassified non-coding RNA is filed under the name soil metagenome. RNAcentral describes it as "partial internal transcribed spacer 1". The record is from RNAcentral.
UAAUAAGUGUUUUAUGGCACUUUUUAAAUCCAUAUCCACCUUGUGUGCAAUGUCAGUCGAUCUUCUUCAUGGAGAUCGACCAAACAUCAACCUUUAUCUUUUAACUCCUUUGUCUGAAAAAUAUUAUGAAUAAACAAUUCAAAAUA